ACAGGGCUGUUGUUGUUGUUGUUUAUCUCACCAGGUUCCAGUGACAGGGCUGAUGUUGUUGUUGUUUAUCUCACCAGGUUCUAGUGACAGGGCUGUUGUUGUUGUUGUUUAUCUCACCAGGUUCUAGUGACAGGGCUGAUGUUGUUGUUGUUGUUGUUUAUCUCACCAGGUUCUAGUGACAGGGCUGUUGUUGUUGUUGUUUAUCUCACCAGGUUCUAGUGACAGGGCUGUUGUUGUUGUUGUUGUUGUUGUUGUUUAUCUCACCAGGUUCUAGUGACAGGGCUGAUGUUGUUGUUGUUUAUCUCACCAGGUUCUAGUGACAGGGCUGUUG
Oncorhynchus keta (chum salmon) is the source of this 331-nucleotide long non-coding RNA. RefSeq lists it as uncharacterized. NCBI's taxonomy places the organism in Eukaryota, Metazoa, Chordata, Actinopteri, Salmoniformes, Salmonidae. The transcript has 3 exons. The record is from RefSeq and is a predicted model, not a curated record.